AGGGCCAUAGGUUCGAAUCCUG
Molecule: non-coding RNA, 22 nt
Filed under: Arabidopsis thaliana (thale cress)
Lineage: Eukaryota; Viridiplantae; Streptophyta; Magnoliopsida; Brassicales; Brassicaceae
Source: RNAcentral